AACCACUGCGCAGGUUUCUUGCUACUGGAAUUUCAACGCGUUCACAGUAAUAUUGAAACCUAGACCACGCAAGUUCGGCGAAGGGCUUGCGUUAACUGGGCCCUCCAUCGUCAUCGAUUUACCGAUUUUUCGAUGGACAGCACUCCCUGUCUUCGAUCAUCUCGUCGAGCUGGAGGCACACAGAGGCAAAGCGGGGUGCAAAUUCACAAAGAAUGAAGCACUCCAGGGUGGCCUCUUUCAGUUAACUGGCUCAUAUCCUGUCUACCAUCUGUUGAUCUUAGGUGUUUCGACCAUAUAGCUUUGUGAUGACGAGCUCGCUUGCGGACCUGUCGUGUUAGAACGAGGCUUCUCGCAUCAGUUAUCAAAUUGGAGCAAAGUGGGGACACAAUUCUCUCCAGCAGUAUUCGUGCUCGAGAGAUCAGCUUUCCUUGAGAUUAUACAGCUGUUGAUGUGGCAGCCGCUUGGUGUGCUAGUUCGAGCAACAGUAGAACCUAAUGUAACCCCAUGUAUUGACGGUACUCCCCAUGCACGAAUGUUGAGUUACUGCACUCAGGUUCGGAGAAGUUAAGUUUGGGUUUCGGCAAUGUGUAGUCAAUAGAUUCGAAAACGUUUGCUUCUAUUUUAGAAGUCGGGUCGAAACGAAACGACGAACUUUGUUGUCGCUGCGGCUUGACAGUGCAGGUUGAGGCCCCCGCAUCAAAUCUCAGGAAGUUGAAGCCAUGGCGUCUGAUUCAGAGAAGAAAUCUACGUGGGAUACAAUCAUCGAUUACGUCAUUCGAACUCUUGCCGAGCAAGUGGGACUGGGUAUUUUUGUUAACUUCAUUUGGUGGGUCAUAUUUACGUCUGUUUCGGUGUUGUGUUGUCGAGAACAUCAGAGGAGGAGGAGACGCGAGAUUUUGAUACUGGAUAGUGAUAUGAAGAAUGCUAUAUUCCGUGACCUGAUAAUUCGCAUGGACACCAAUCAGAGCUGCACGGAAGGACAUUUUGAUUAUGAAGUUGGUCACUCGACACCAGAUAAGACAGGUCUUAAUGCAAAGAUAAGUCCAUGUGAUGAUACAGAUCCGUGGGGUUCUGAUCUCAAUCUCACUCCCAAAGAGCCGGAUAUCGCAGUGAAAGAUGUCUCUUCUGAAUCUUCUCGACCGCAUGAAGUGGAACCUACCGCGAAUAGAAAUCAGUAAGAAAACUUGAAAUCCAGGACAUUCCUUACGGUGCUGUAAUGGGUUCGAGCAGAUCGACUUCAGACCUGGGUCUCGACUUUUGCAGUCAAAGGUGAUAUUAAUUGAUGACAACUUGGGGAAGCUAUGCCAAAUGUCAUUUGAUGACAACUGGGGGAAGCUUGUGCAAUAGCUGAUCAACAUGUCGUUGUGCAACUCAACAAUUUUCAAGCCUUCGUUUGUAGCGAGGGCACGCUAUCCCAACAUGCACCUAAUACAACUGUUUGGGAACCAUGGUUGGAGGUUAUGCCGAGCACAGUCGUCCUACUGACGCAAUCGAGGUUUAUGAUCAAGUUCGUCAAGAAGGUGGGAGGCCAAAUGAGGUGACUUAUUUGAGUAUUUUGAAAGCAUGCGCCUGCCCGGCUGGUGCAAUCUGGGGCAAAGAAAUUCAUGCACAUAGCAGGCGUAGUGGUUUUUAAUCUUACGUUCCUGUAUAGACUCGAGCAUUUAGGAUGCUAAAAUAUUCUUUUGGUGCAAUGGCGGAGCGAAAUGUAAUCACAUGGAAUGUAAUGACUGGUGGACCUGCACAAUACGGGUAUGGGCAUGAAGCGUUCUCCCUUUUCCUUCAGAUGCAAGAAGGGUUUGUACCAGAUGCAACUAAUUAUUUAAGCAUCCUCACUGCAACUGUACGCACUAGCGCGGGGGCUUUGCGAUGGGUAAAGGAGGUUCAUCGUCACACUUUCAAAGCUGGAUUUGAUUCAGACAUGUGUGUGUAGAAUGCGCUAGUUUACAUGUAUUCUAAGAAUGCCAAAGUUGAUGAUGCUAGGCUCGUUUUCGAUGGAAUGCUGGAUCCUGAUGUAAUCAGGGGGUCUGCAAUGAUUGGUGGACUUGCACAAAAAUGGGCUUGGACAUGAACCCUUUUCCCUCUUUCUCGAGAUGCAAAGAGAAGGAGUUGUUCCAAAUGUAACUACUAAUUUGAGAAUCCUCGCUGCAAGUGCAAGCACAGCAGCUCAAUAAUAGGUGAAGCAAGUUCAUAAUCAUGCUAGUUAAGCAGGACUUGGUUCUGAUUUUCGUGUGUGCAA
Molecule: non-coding RNA, 2236 nt
Organism: Physcomitrium patens
Lineage: Eukaryota; Viridiplantae; Streptophyta; Bryopsida; Funariales; Funariaceae
Source: RefSeq, a predicted model, not a curated record